CCCUUAGAUGUCCUGGGCCGCACGCGUGCUACACUGACACUUGCAACGAGUACUUUGCUUUACCGAAAGGUAAUGCUAAUCAUCAAUAAGUGUCGUGAUGGGGAUAGAUCUUUGGAAUUAUGGAUCUUGAACGAGGAAUGCCUAGUAAGCGUAGGUCAUUAGCCUACGCUGAUUAAGUCCCUGCCCUUUGUACACACCGCCCGUCGCUCCUACCGAUUUCGAGUGGUCCGGUGAAACUUUUGGACCGUGCGACUUUAUUGUUGUCACGGAAAGUCAGUUAAACCAUACUACUUAGAGGAAGGAGAAGUCGUANCA
This 315-nucleotide ribosomal RNA is filed under the name uncultured eukaryote. RNAcentral describes it as "partial 18S ribosomal RNA". It matches the Rfam family "Eukaryotic small subunit ribosomal RNA", at positions 1470 to 1796 of the family's 1831-position model. The record is from RNAcentral.